Pteropus alecto (black flying fox) is the source of this 119-nucleotide non-coding RNA. The record is from Rfam. Lineage: Eukaryota; Metazoa; Chordata; Mammalia; Chiroptera; Pteropodidae.
GUCUAUGGCCACGCCACCCUGAACGUGCUCGAUCCCAUCUGAUCUCGGAGGCUAAGCAGGGUCGGGCCUGGUUAGUACUUGGAUGGGAGACCACCUAGGAAGACCAGGUGCUGUAGGUG